AUGUGGGGUGUGUGUUUAUGACAGGCAACAGAUGUGGGGUGUGUGUUUAGGACAGGCAACAGAUGUGGGGUGUGUGUUUGGGACAGGCAACAGGUGUGUGGUGUGUGUUUAGGACAGGCAACAGAUGUGGGGUGUGUGUUUGGGACAGGCAACAGGUGUGUGGUGUGUGUUUAGGACAGGCAACAGAUGUGGGGUGUGUGUUUAGGACAGGCAACAGAUGUGGGGUGUGUGUUUAUGACAGGCAACAGAU
Austrofundulus limnaeus is the source of this 250-nucleotide long non-coding RNA. RefSeq lists it as uncharacterized. NCBI's taxonomy places the organism in Eukaryota, Metazoa, Chordata, Actinopteri, Cyprinodontiformes, Rivulidae. The record is from RefSeq and is a predicted model, not a curated record. The transcript has 2 exons.